UACGUAGGGUGCAAGCGUUGUCCGGAUUUAUUGGGUUUAAAGGGUGCGUAGGCGGCUUUAUAAGUCGUGGGUGAAAGCCUUCCGCUUAACGGAAGAAUUGCCUGCGAUACUGUGAGGCUUGAGUACGGUUAAGGUCGGCGGAAUUAAUGGUGUAGCGGUGAAAUGCUUAGAUACCAUUAGGAACACCAAUUGCGUAGGCAGCUGACUAGGCCGUAACUGACGCUGAGGCACGAAAGCGUGGGUAGCAAACAGG
RNAcentral lists this ribosomal RNA (253 nucleotides) under uncultured bacterium. Its description in RNAcentral is "partial 16S ribosomal RNA". It matches the Rfam family "Bacterial small subunit ribosomal RNA", at positions 524 to 776 of the family's 1533-position model. The record is from RNAcentral.